GGUAAAGUGGCUGAGUUAAAGGCAAUAAAUUGUAAAUUUAUGUAGGAAUUAAUUAUUCCUUUACCA
This 66-nucleotide transfer RNA is filed under the name Rhysodes sp. BMNH-844233. RNAcentral describes it as "tRNA-Tyr". The record is from RNAcentral. Lineage: Eukaryota; Metazoa; Arthropoda; Insecta; Coleoptera; Carabidae.